RNAcentral lists this transfer RNA (77 nucleotides) under Candidatus Entotheonella factor. RNAcentral describes it as "tRNA-Arg". It matches the Rfam family "tRNA". Rfam says of the family: Transfer RNA (tRNA) molecules are approximately 80 nucleotides in length. Their secondary structure includes four short double-helical elements and three loops (D, anti-codon, and T loops). Lineage: Bacteria; Pseudomonadati; Candidatus Tectimicrobiota; Candidatus Entotheonellia; Candidatus Entotheonellales; Candidatus Entotheonellaceae. The record is from RNAcentral.
GCGCCGAUAGCUCAAUUGGAUAGAGCGUCUGACUACGGAUCAGGAGGCUGGGGGUUCGACUCCUCCUCGGCGCGCUA